Small nucleolar RNA from Otolemur garnettii (small-eared galago), 90 nucleotides. Lineage: Eukaryota; Metazoa; Chordata; Mammalia; Primates; Galagidae. The record is from Ensembl.
AUCCUUUGUAGUUCCUAAGUGGGAUGACUGGGUUUUCAUGUGCAUCUGUAACAAAUCUUGUUACUACGUUGGCACAUUACCAGUCUGAUG